Molecule: long non-coding RNA, 1090 nt
Organism: Oreochromis aureus
Lineage: Eukaryota; Metazoa; Chordata; Actinopteri; Cichliformes; Cichlidae
Source: Ensembl
UGUGAUGUUUAAAUGAGCUGCAGUCCUUUUUUUAAAUGUAGGAGCGAGAGUGUGCUUUUUGUUAAGAUUAAAAACAUUUCCAUGACCUUGAAUGCUCAUUGCUGACAAAUAAAAUCCAUGGAGGAGAGUUUGCCAGGUGCGUAAUGUGCACUGCAUAGAGUGAAUGCUGCAGAGGAAGUGCCCCUUUAUGGCUAAUCUGAGAAUGGGUGUUUGCAGCACCUUGUUUGGGGACUCUGUUUCUGUUUUUCAGCAUGAAAAGGGCAGGGAAAACAAAAGGGCAGCAGUGGCCGCCCACUUCUUUCUGUACACCUAUAUACAUCAGAAUCAGUCUGAAUCAAAUCACAGCAUGAGCUGUGCUCAGAUGGAGGUGUUUAGUCAGUAAUGUUAGAUUUGAAUGCUUUAGGAAAAUGCACUGCGUUUUCUGGUCUUACCGACCACUCAAAAUGCUUCAGACUAGAAGUCACAAUUUACCAUGCAUUCAUACAGGUGUUGCACUUUAAGCUCUUCGUUUGCUUCUCAUCCACAGCCAAUUCAGUAUCACUAAAUAACCUAUCAUGCAUGUUUUGUUUGGACUGUGGGAGAAAGCUGAAGUACCCAGAGGAAACUCACGUAAGCACAGGGAGAGCAUUCAAACUCUGCACCGAACCACUGAACAACUGGACCGCCCUGUCUUAUAGAAAGUGUUCUUCCAUUUACUAUGUUCAGAAAACAGCUUCUGACAAUCACUCUCAGGCCGACGCCAUCUGCUGGGACUCAGUGAGAGCUCCGAUAAUCAGAAAGAAAAAGCAAACACAAUUCUGGCCAUGGCCACCACAGCCUCGGUCUGCGUGCCUUUCCUGCUGAUCCUCCAGGGUCUUCCCACAGUUCAAAGACUGAUUUCUGCAGAUUCGUGUUAAAUGAACGGGAAACCACUGUGGCUGUGAAUGUGAUUAUCUACCAAGAGACAUUUAAUUUUAGGGCAAAAUGACAAAUUAUAAUCUUAUCUCUGCGUGAAAAACCACUGUCUGCUCAUUUACUUGAAUGGGGCCAAUCCAGUCAGCAAGACACAGCAGCAGCCAAUCAAAUACAUGCUUUCCUGCUCAAUUAUUUU